CUACGGGGGGCUCCAGUUAGGAAUAAUCUACAAUGCGCGCAAGCGUGAUAGUUUGAAUCAGAGUGUUUUUCUAUUUGAAAAGCUUUUGUGGAAUGUAAAAAGUUUCACGAAUAAGGACUGGGUAAGACGAGUGCCAGCCGCCGCGGUAAUACUCGCGGUCCAAGUCGCAGCCAUUUUUAUUGGGUCUAAAACAUCCGUAGCUUGCUUAAUAAGUUUCUUGUGAAAUUUUAUGUCUCAAGCAUGAACCAUGCAAGAAGUACUGUUUAGCUAGAGACUGGUAGACGUAAGAAGUACGUUCAGAGUAGCGGUAAAAUGUGUUAAUCCUGGGCAGACUAACAAAGCGUAGGCAUCUUACGAGAACAGUUCUGACAGUAAGGGAUGAAGGCCAGGGGCGCAAAACGGAUUAGAUACCCCCGUAGUC
RNAcentral lists this ribosomal RNA (421 nucleotides) under uncultured archaeon. RNAcentral's name for it is "partial 16S ribosomal RNA". It matches the Rfam family "Archaeal small subunit ribosomal RNA", at positions 323 to 746 of the family's 1478-position model. The record is from RNAcentral.